RNAcentral lists this ribosomal RNA (497 nucleotides) under uncultured bacterium. RNAcentral's name for it is "partial 16S ribosomal RNA". It matches the Rfam family "Bacterial small subunit ribosomal RNA", at positions 28 to 507 of the family's 1533-position model. The record is from RNAcentral.
GAUGAACGCUGGCGGCGUGCCUAAUACAUGCAAGUCGAGCGAACAGGCGAGGAGCUUGCUCCUCUGACGUUAGCGGCGGACGGGUGAGUAACACGUGGAUAACCUACCUAUAGGACUGGGAUAACUUCGGGAAACCGGAGCUAAUACCGGAUAAUAUAUUGAACCGCAUGGUUCAAUAGUGAAAGACGGUUUUGCUGUCACUUAUAGAUGGAUCCGCGCCGCAUUAGCUAGUUGGUAAGGUAACGGCUUACCAAGGCAACGAUGCGUAGCCGACCUGAGAGGGUGAUCGGCCACACUGGAACUGAGACACGGUCCAGACUCCUACGGGAGGCAGCAGUAGGGAAUCUUCCGCAAUGGGCGAAAGCUUGACGGAGCAACGCCGCGUGAGUGAUGAAGGUCUUCGGAUCGUAAAACUCUGUUAUUAGGGAAGAACAAAUGUGUAAGUAACUAUGCACGUCUUGACGGUACCUAAUCAGAAAGCCACGGCUAACUACGUG